This 1078-nucleotide unclassified non-coding RNA is filed under the name Pollicipes pollicipes. RNAcentral's name for it is "smoothelin-like protein 1, transcript variant X1". The record is from RNAcentral. Lineage: Eukaryota; Metazoa; Arthropoda; Thecostraca; Pollicipedomorpha; Pollicipedidae.
CCGGCCGGGCGCCGCGCUGGCCUACAGCGCAGCAGCAGCUCCGACAUGUUGCGCUUCGGUGUCACCACCAAGCCGUUCGAGGCGCGCCUGGAUGCGGCCAGUGCCGAGCAGAAGAAGCAGCGCCUGGAGACAUUCUUCCGCGAGCGCGAGGACGAGCGGCUGGCUCGCUCGUUCGACGACCUGUUGGACGGCCUGGACGAGGAGGAGCUGAUGGCGCCGGCGGCCGGUGAGUCGGCCGGCGGCCGGCAGCCGCCGCACGCGCUCGCCAAGUCGCACACGGUCGGUGACCUGCGGCUGGGACGAGGGCCACCUCCGCCGCCGCCGGCGUCCAGCGCGCGCAGCUCAUUCGCGCGGCGACAGCACGCCUGGGAGAGCAGCAUCGGCACGAGCAUGGCCCUCGGACUGGGCUCCUAUGCUCCGCCGCCGCCGCCGAAGCCUGCAGCAAACGAGAACGGCCAGAAUCCAGCUGGAAAAUCCAAAGCCGGCAACUCUAAAAGGGAUGGCUUUGAGCUGGACAUCGCCCCUCAGGGUCAGGGCACCAAGGAGGUCAUGUUGUUCUGGGUCCAGUGCCGGCUGAGGGACUACAAGACAGUGAAGGUGGAGAACUUCUCCACCAGCUGGAGCGAUGGCAUCGCGUUCUGCGCGCUCAUUCAUCACUUCUUCCCGGACGCCUUCGACUUCAGCAAGCUGGAUCCUAGAAAUCGGCGCUACAACUUCGACUUGGCCUUCAGAACCGCCGACGAGAGAGCCGGCAUCUUCCCUCUGUUGGAGCCCGACGACAUGGUGGCCAUGGAGAAGCCCGACUGGAAGAGCGUCUUCGCCUACAUCCAGUCCAUCUACAGCGUGCUGAAGUGAGGGGGCCCCGCCGCGCCACCACCCGAUGGCAGCGGCGGUCCGCUGGCAGCCCUGCCCUCUGAAUAGUCCCGUUCCGACGAGUGCCCGCCUGCGAGUGUGACAGAGAAGCCAAGCUGAGACGAAGCCGUCGUUAGCCGCGCCCAGUGCUGUGAAACUGCCCCUGAAGCUGCCAUCGCUCCUGCUCCCAGCGGCCAGAAUCCAGCUGGAAAAUCCAAAGCCGGCA